ACGUCGGUGAGAAGAUAAUGGGCCAGAGCCGCGCCGACUCUACAAAACACUUCUGGCUGACAGACGCUUUUUCUCUCUGGGCCGAUCUCGGCUGAGAGCUGUUGUACGUGCGGCAGGUCCGCACUUGGUGUAGUUGUGUGUAUCUAUCUUCGGCCCGAGCUGGUUUUGUCUCCGGCGGCCGCUGCUAGAAUGAAGAUCAGCCGCUGAGAGAGAUUUGGCGGUUAAUCCUGAGGAGAUUUCGGCGGGCACAGUUCUCAAGAGGAAUACUUCAGCUGCAAAAAGGUAAAUUAAGUUAUUUAAUGAUCAGUCUAGUGUUGUUUGAUGUUUAAAUGUCACGAAGAGUAUAGUUUUUAGAUGGUUUCUGUUAGGUUUGCGAUGAUAAUAGCGUCAGAAAAACCAUUAGGUCCGGGAUAUGUUGAGUAACGUAACGUUAGCUGUUAGGCGCGGUCUCUUUAGGAAAACGAUAUGUAAUUUUUUAAUAUGAAAAACCGAUGAGCUGUAUCCAGUGCAGUCCAUGUUAGGUGAUUAAAUUUUAAUGAGUUAAAUUCUAUUUUGUUUGCUAGAAUUCAUUCGAUUCGUCUUUUUCAACGAGUGAUUGCUAUUGAAUCAAAGGAGUCGGACUGCGCUGGUGGCGCCAUAAACAUCUACACGAGUGACUCUCUGAUUCGAUUCACUGAACCAUUCAAAUGAGUCAUUUGUGAAUCAAACUGAGCACGCUGUUGUAGCAUUACACCUGCUAAGACAAUUCAAUAUGUGCAAUCUGAAUUUAAUAAUAAUGUUUAUUUUGUGGUAACACUGCCGUGUGGGAAGCUCUGACAGAGAAAAACGAUACGUAAGAGAGAGCCGUAAAAUAAAUUCUGAGCUGCUGCAUGAACAUUCAUCAAACAUAAGGCUGCAAUUUGGAAGAAAACCUUUCAAGCUAAUGCUGCUGAAAUGGAGGUCAAGGGGACUAUGAAGAGGUGGCUCCAGCUGAUCAAACACACUCUGUUACAGUAAUCAGCUGAUCCAGUCGGUAUCCAGACCAGACGGUGGACCUGCACCCAGGAACGACCACACCACAUCCCUGACUGUCAGCGGAGAUCAUGUCAGCUAGAUCACAGAUCCCUGUGAAGACCUCAUUGAUGGCCCCAGCACAGAUCCUCAGCAAAGACUACGAGAACCAGACAAGCCCUCUGUGCAGACCCUUUUUACCAGCUUCACCUGCUGGCGUGAUAUUACUUCAAGCAGAAGAAGUUGGAUGAAAUAUUCUGAAUGAUAUCAAUCCACAAUCUGACUUGUGAUGCAGCCUGGAAUAAUCACACCACGUUGAUUCGUUUGGCCAGAGGAGACUGUUUCCUGACUGAGCCGGGUCUUGUUUGGGUUCCUUGUCACUGUUGCCUUUUGUCUUGCUUGGUUGAAGACACCUAAUAUUCAGCAAUAUUAUUGACUUGACUGCACUGACACCAUUUGAUAAGAACUGAACUGAAUUAUGACACACAAUGUUUUAUAUAUGAAGAGUUUAUUUGCAAAAACAGAUAACUCCUUUUU
Long non-coding RNA from Onychostoma macrolepis, 1527 nucleotides. RefSeq lists it as uncharacterized. The record is from RefSeq and is a predicted model, not a curated record. NCBI's taxonomy places the organism in Eukaryota, Metazoa, Chordata, Actinopteri, Cypriniformes, Cyprinidae. The transcript is spliced from 4 exons.